RNAcentral lists this ribosomal RNA (466 nucleotides) under uncultured bacterium. RNAcentral's name for it is "partial 16S ribosomal RNA". It matches the Rfam family "Bacterial small subunit ribosomal RNA", at positions 28 to 506 of the family's 1533-position model. The record is from RNAcentral.
GACGAACGCUGGCGGCGUGCUUAACACAUGCAAGUCGAACGGAAAGGCCCUGCUUUUGUGGGGUGCUCGAGUGGCGAACGGGUGAGUAACACGUGAGUAACCUGCCCUUGACUUUGGGAUAACUUCAGGAAACUGGGGCUAAUACCGGAUAGGAGCUCCUGCUGCAUGGUGGGGGUUGGAAAGUUUCGGCGGUUGGGGAUGGACUCGCGGCUUAUCAGCUUGUUGGUGGGGUAGUGGCUUACCAAGGCUUUGACGGGUAGCCGGCCUGAGAGGGUGACCGGCCACAUUGGGACUGAGAGACGGCCCAGACUCCUACGGGAGGCAGCAGUGGGGAAUAUUGCACAAUGGGCGGAAGCCUGAUGCAGCAACGCCGCGUGCGGGAUGACGGCCUUCGGGUUGUAAACCGCUUUCGCCUGUGACGAAGCGUGAGUGACGGUAAUGGGUAAGAAGCACCGGCUAACUACGU